GUCUCUCUAUCUCUCAAUAAUAAAUAAACGUUAAAAAAAAUUUUUUUUUAAACUGGGCAAAAGAUCUGAAACAGACACUUCAUCAGAUAAGAUAUGUAAAUGGCAAGGAAGUCUUUGAUGAGACUCAACACCAUAUGACCUUAGGGAAAUGCAAAUUAAAGCAACAAUGAGAUAGCACUAUAUGCCUAUUAGAAAGGCUAAAAUCCAAAUUACAACACCAAAUGCCAGUGAGGACGGGGAGCAAAAAGAAUGCCUAUUCAUUGCGAGAGGAUAGCCAAAUGGUUGAUCUACUUUGGAAGAUCAUUCGGAUAUUCUUACACAGAUCAACAUAGUCUUCUUGCCGCACGAACCAGUUACCACACUUAUGGAUGUUUGCUCAAAUGAGUGGAAAAUUUAUGCCCAUGCAAAACCCUGCACGUGAAUAGUUGGAGCUGCUUUAUUCAUAAUUGCCCCAAACCAGACGCAAACGUGGUAUCAGUCAAUAAGUUAAAUGGAUAAAUGAACUGUGAUACACCCAUACAAUGGGAGAUUAUUCAGCGAUAAAAAGAAGUGAGCUAUUAAGUCAUGCAAACACAUGGGGGGAGCCUUAACUGCACAUUGCUGUGUGAAAGUAGCCAGUCUCAAAGGGCUACAUACUGUAUGAUUCUAACCAUACGACAUUAUGGGAAAAGUAAAAUCAUAGAGGCAGUAAAAAAAUAGCUGCCCGAAGUCUGAGGAAUAACAGGAAGGAUGGGUGGGUGAAACAUAGGUGGUGAAGCUCUUUUGCAUGAUACCAUAAUGGUAGACAAUGACAUUAUGCAUUGGUCAAAGGCCAUAGGACCGUAUGUGGUGUUUAUAUGUUUAGUCUUUGUCUCCAGUUCCUGGACCAGAGCUUCAGAAACCCUUCAAGUUUCAGGAGUGAUAACGUGCGUCUUUGUUAUGCUAAUGAGGUAGCUAAUGGCCGGAUGUGAAAGGAGCCCUAAGAUAGCUUCGUGAUGGAGGCUGGUUGCCAGAAAGACCAAGCUUGUGAUUAGAGAGUUGGUACUUUCAGCCUUGGUUCCCAGAGUUUAAGGAGGAGACAACAUUGGAGACUGAGUUCGUGCAUAGGUUCCCAGGUAGAAGAAACAUGUCCUAAGCUCCUGACUGAGAAUCUGCAUGGAUUGGACUUCCCACCAGAAAGUCUUGAAGCUACGGAACAAUGGAGCCAUGCCUUCAAAAUUCUAAGGGAAAGUGAUUUCUAACCGACAACUGUAUACUGAACCGAUCAAGAUCAUUCAAGUGUGAUAGAACGAAGACUUUUUCUACAUACUACAAAGAAUCAAUCAUAAAGUUUCUCUCUCAUGCUCUCUUUGACAGGAAGUAAGUGGCAAAUUAAAUGUGCACUUGCCGCACAAAAAUAAGAAGACCGCAAGUCAAAGGAGGUGAGAAGUUUCCCACAACACAGAGGCUUCAGCAUCAGUAAGAGGCAAACAUUGGUGAAGGAUGUUGUUGAAGGGGGACCCUGGGAUGACAGGUGGACAAAGGGCGAUUGCGGCCUCCUCGCAGAUAGAAUCCUCAGUGUGGAAACUGGAGCAGCUCUUCUCUCCAGCUUAUCUCUUAACUCAGGCUAAUGGACGGCAAAACCACCCUGCAGGCAAUAGUGAGUGAUGUGACAAGACCUCCAGCUGGACCAGAUGGCCCAGACCAGUUUGAACCAAACCCCUGACUUGCACCUGCACAGAGGGGCCAUGGAGUAACCUCUGGAAUGAGCAACAAUCACCUUUGCCUCAUUAUAAUACUAAGAUCUCCAUUCAAGGAGGGAACAGCAGCCUCAUUUACAUAACAUGUAUGCGUAGGCAUGUUCCUUUCAGGCCCAUGCAUGACCUUAUGCCCACCUCUGCAUAUGAUGACAAGACUUCCUCAUCUAAACAUUCAUCUUAACCCUAAACAAAAGAAACCCAAUCACCCUUGCUUGAGGAGUCGGGGCUUUGGAAGUUAUUCCUUGCCAUCUCCUGAUUUGCUGCAAAUAAAGUUUCCUUUGUGUGACAA
Long non-coding RNA from Felis catus (domestic cat), 2007 nucleotides. RefSeq lists it as uncharacterized. Lineage: Eukaryota; Metazoa; Chordata; Mammalia; Carnivora; Felidae. The record is from RefSeq and is a predicted model, not a curated record. The transcript has 3 exons.